CAGCCGCCGCGGGAAUACGUAGGGUGCGAGCGUUAGUCGGAAUUACUGGGCGUAAAGCGUGCGCAGGCGGUUGUGUAAGACAGGUGUGAAAUCCCCGGGCUUAACCUGGGAACUGCGCUUGUGACUGCACAGCUAGAGUAUGGCAGAGGGGGGUGGAAUUCCACGUGUAGCAGUGAAAUGCGUAGAGAUGUGGAGGAACACCGAUGGCGAAGGCAGCCCCCUGGGCCAAUACUGACGCUCAUGCACGAAAGCGUGGGGAGCAAACAGGAUUAGAUACCCCCGUAGUCCCUGUCUCUUAUAC
RNAcentral lists this ribosomal RNA (301 nucleotides) under uncultured bacterium. Its description in RNAcentral is "partial 16S ribosomal RNA". It matches the Rfam family "Bacterial small subunit ribosomal RNA", at positions 509 to 807 of the family's 1533-position model. The record is from RNAcentral.